This 28-nucleotide non-coding RNA is filed under the name Homo sapiens (human). The record is from RNAcentral. Lineage: Eukaryota; Metazoa; Chordata; Mammalia; Primates; Hominidae.
UGGGCCUACCACCUAGCUGAUGUGACCU